This is a long non-coding RNA of Labeo rohita (rohu), 326 nucleotides long. RefSeq lists it as uncharacterized. The transcript has 3 exons. NCBI's taxonomy places the organism in Eukaryota, Metazoa, Chordata, Actinopteri, Cypriniformes, Cyprinidae. The record is from RefSeq and is a predicted model, not a curated record.
UGUAAAUUAAAUUAAAAAUAUUGGUUUCCAUUGUCACGUGACUUCUAACGUCAUCCGUGGUCGUGCGUGUCGACGUUCAGCUUUCCGCCAUCUUGUUAUACCGCAUGGAUGAACUCGGCGUGGUAAAACGGGAAUCAAGAAAAUUGGAUGGGGUACAGCUGAACAACAAUUAUGACAGGUUUUGAAUAAACCAGUCACAUGAAAAACAUUAAUGCCGAAUUUUUGCGCAUCACUACCCUACAUUUAAAAUCGAGAAUUAUGGCCUCUUUGGACAGACAGAGCUCUUAGCUUCUCCAGGUUAUUAGGAGCAAAGGUGGAGUCCUCCA